ACCUGGGUGGCUUGGUCGGUUAAGCAUCUGACUUCGGCUCAGGUCAUGAUCUCACGGUCCGUGAGUUCGAGCCCCACCUUGGGCU
Molecule: transfer RNA, 85 nt
Filed under: Felis catus (domestic cat)
Lineage: Eukaryota; Metazoa; Chordata; Mammalia; Carnivora; Felidae
Rfam family: tRNA
About the family: Transfer RNA (tRNA) molecules are approximately 80 nucleotides in length. Their secondary structure includes four short double-helical elements and three loops (D, anti-codon, and T loops).
Source: Rfam by way of RNAcentral